This 255-nucleotide ribosomal RNA is filed under the name uncultured bacterium. RNAcentral describes it as "partial 16S ribosomal RNA". It matches the Rfam family "Bacterial small subunit ribosomal RNA", at positions 524 to 776 of the family's 1533-position model. The record is from RNAcentral.
UACGGGGGGAGCAAGCGUUGUUCGGAUUUACUGGGCGUAAAGGGCGCGUAGGCGGUCAGCACAAGUCAGUUGUGAAAUCUCCGGGCUUAACUCGGAAAGGUCAACUGAUACUGUGCGACUAGAGUGCGGAAGGGGCAACUGGAAUUCUCGGUGUAGCGGUGAAAUGCGUAGAUAUCAAGAGGAACACCUGAGGCGAAGGCGGGUUGCUAGGCUGAUACUGACGCUGAGUGCGCGAAAGCUAGGGUAGCAAACGGG